Molecule: ribosomal RNA, 462 nt
Filed under: uncultured bacterium
Lineage: Bacteria
Description: partial 16S ribosomal RNA
Rfam family: Bacterial small subunit ribosomal RNA
Source: RNAcentral
GACGAACGCUGGCGGCGUGCUUAACACAUGCAAGUCGAGCGGAAAGGUCAUUCGGUGUACUCGUUCGGGGAACGGGUGAGUAACACGUGAGUAACUUGCUCUAGUCUUUGGGAUAACCGUCGGAAACGGGGGCUCAUACCGUAUACUCCUUCUACAUCGUGAGCCUUGGGGUGCUACGGUUCUCGGUCUGGGAUGGACUAGUGGUCGAUGAGCCAGUGGGGGGGGUAAUGGCUGACGAAGGAAAGGACGGGUAGCCGACCUGAGAGGGGGACCGGGCACACUGGGACUGAGAGACGGACCAGACUCCUACGGGAGGCAGCAGUGGGGAAUAUUGCACAAUGGGCGGAAGCCAGAUGCAGCGACGCCGCGUGAGGGAUGCCGGCCUUCGGGUUAUAAACAUCUUCCAGCGGGGACGAAGCGUAAGUGACGGUACCUGCAGAAGAAGCGCCGGCCAACUACGUG